This is a small nucleolar RNA of Eutrema salsugineum, 107 nucleotides long. It matches the Rfam family "Plant small nucleolar RNA R71". From Rfam's summary of the family: R71 is a member of the C/D box family of snoRNAs containing the C (UGAUGA) and D (CUGA) box motifs. The record is from Rfam. NCBI's taxonomy places the organism in Eukaryota, Viridiplantae, Streptophyta, Magnoliopsida, Brassicales, Brassicaceae.
AAACCAUGGUGAGGACAUUGGUUUGUAUUUUCUUUGAAUCUCUCUCAUGCUUCACUAAAUGACUCAUUAUGCUUUUGCGUGAAGGAGGAGAUCUCAUUCCUCAGCUU